This is a long non-coding RNA of Alexandromys fortis (reed vole), 717 nucleotides long. RefSeq lists it as uncharacterized. The record is from RefSeq and is a predicted model, not a curated record. The transcript has 3 exons. NCBI's taxonomy places the organism in Eukaryota, Metazoa, Chordata, Mammalia, Rodentia, Cricetidae.
AGAGAGAGAGAGAGAGAGAGAGAGAGAGAGAGAGAGAUUCAUAAGAAGUUCUGUGACUCUAGAAAACCUUGACUAAUACAGAUAGACAGGAAAGAGUAGCUGAGUGUCCAGUAGGUUCGAGGAAUUCCUAUCAGUCAGUUGUUUUCAAUGUCAAUAGUGUUUUGCUUUUAUUUUCUAAAAGAAAAGAGAGCAUUGAUCCACAUGUUCAGGAGAAAAAGACAAAGAAAAACUCAAAAGAGACAGUCUCAGGUAGCCCAGGCUGACCUGGAAGUCUUGAUUCUCCUGCUUCCAUCUCCAAGGUGCUGGGAUUACAGCUGUAUGGAUUCUAUGUUCUUUGUGAAUUGAAAUAUGAAAUCAGCUACCGAGACAAGGAAGGAGAGCACCUGGAAUGGAAGACAUCAGAGAAGCAGUGGGGGACUGCCUGAAUUUCAAGGGCAUGGAUUAGUGAAUUAAGUAAGACUUCGCUCGUUACUAUACACAGUCUGACUUUAUAGGGAAGCGUGAUCCCAGAAGGAUGUUGUUUUCAAAGUGCAGCAAGCUUCCAUCAAUGCAAGCAGACACAUCUGCCUUGUCAAAAUGCCCACAUGGAUAAAGAAGGUGGCUAAUGGACCAGGACUUCACGGUGCACAUGGGACUCGUGGCUUCCUUGCUGUUUCCCUCUGUUAAGCCCCUUGUUACCAAUUUACCAUGUAGAUAUCUGACUUAAUAAAUGGCUAC